This 406-nucleotide ribosomal RNA is filed under the name uncultured bacterium. RNAcentral describes it as "partial 16S ribosomal RNA". It matches the Rfam family "Bacterial small subunit ribosomal RNA", at positions 29 to 526 of the family's 1533-position model. The record is from RNAcentral.
AUUGAACGCUGGCGGCAGGCCUAACACAUGCAAGUCGAACGAGUGGCGGACGGGUGAGUAAUGUCUGGGAAACUGCCCGAUGGAGGGGGAUAACUACUGGAAACGGUAGCUAAUACCGCAUACCAUCGGAUGUGCCCAGAUGGGAUUAGCUAGUAGGGGGGGUAACGGCUCACCUAGGCGAAGAUCCCUAGCUGGUCUGAGAGGAUGACCAGCCACACUGGGACGGAGACACGGUCCAGACUCCUACGGGAGGCAGCAGUGGGGAAUAUUGCACAAUGGGCGCAAGCCUGAUGCAGCCAUGCCGCGUGUGUGAAGAAGGCCUUCGGGUUGUAAAGUACUUUCAGCGGGGAGGCGGUACCCGCAGAAGAAGCACCGGCUAACUCCGUGCCAGCAGCCGCGGUAAUAC